GUUCGAUUCUGGCUCAGAUUGAACGCUGGCGGGAUGCUACACAUGCAAGUCGAACGGCAGCACGGACUUCAAGUCUGGUGGCGAGUGGCGAACGGGUGAGUAAUGUAUCGGAACGUACCUAGUAGCGGGGGAUAACUACGCGAAAGCGUAGCUAAUACCGCAUACGCCCUUCGGGGGAAAGCGGGGGACCUUCGGGCCUCGCACUAUUAGAGCGGCCGAUAUCGGAUUAGCUAGUUGGUGGGAGUAACGGCUCACCAAGGCGACGAUCCGUAGCUGGUUUGAGAGGACGACCAGCCA
Molecule: unclassified non-coding RNA, 297 nt
Filed under: uncultured Bordetella sp.
Lineage: Bacteria; Pseudomonadati; Pseudomonadota; Betaproteobacteria; Burkholderiales; Alcaligenaceae
Description: partial 16S-23S ribosomal RNA intergenic spacer
Rfam family: Bacterial small subunit ribosomal RNA
Source: RNAcentral